CACGUAGGGGGCGAGCGUUGUCCGGAUUUAUUGGGCGUAAAGAGCUCGUAGGCGGCUCGGUAAGUCGGGUGUGAAACCUCCAGGCUCAACCUGGAGACGCCACCUGAUACUGCUGGGGCUAGAGUCCGGUAGGGGAGUGUGGAACUCCUGGUGUAGCGGUGAAAUGCGCAGAUAUCAGGAAGAACACCAGCGGCGAAGGCGGCACUCUGGGCCGGAACUGACGCUGAGGAGCGAAAGCGUGGGUAGCAAACAGG
Molecule: ribosomal RNA, 254 nt
Filed under: uncultured bacterium
Lineage: Bacteria
Description: partial 16S ribosomal RNA
Rfam family: Bacterial small subunit ribosomal RNA
Source: RNAcentral